This 23-nucleotide microRNA is filed under the name Strongylocentrotus purpuratus (purple sea urchin). RNAcentral describes it as "spu-miR-4848b". Lineage: Eukaryota; Metazoa; Echinodermata; Echinoidea; Camarodonta; Strongylocentrotidae. The record is from miRBase by way of RNAcentral.
UGGGUUGAGGCUUUGGGGCAGGA